AGUGAACGCUGGCGGUAGGCCUAACACAUGCAAGUCGAACGGCAGCACAGUAAGAGCUUGCUCUUACGGGUGGCGAGUGGCGGACGGGUGAGGAAUACAUCGGACUCUACUUUUUCGUGGGGGAUAACGUAGGGAAACUUACGCUAAUACCGCAUACGACCUACGGGUGAAAGCAGGGGAUCUUCGGACCUUGCGCGAUUGAAUGAGCCGAUGUCGGAUUAGCUAGUUGGCGGGGUAAAGGCCCACCAAGGCGACGAUCCGUAGCUGGUCUGAGAGGAUGAUAAGCCACACUGGAACUGAGACACGGUCCAGACUCCUACGGGAGGCAGCAGUGGGGUAUAUUGGACAAUGGGCGCAAGCCUGAUCCAGCCAUACCGCGUGGGUGAAGAAGGCCUUCGGGUUGUAAAGCCCUUUUGUUGGGAAAGAAAAGCAGCAGGUUAAUACCCCGCUGUUCUGACGGUACCCAAAGAAUAAGCACCGGCUAACUUCGUG
Molecule: ribosomal RNA, 492 nt
Filed under: uncultured bacterium
Lineage: Bacteria
Description: partial 16S ribosomal RNA
Rfam family: Bacterial small subunit ribosomal RNA
Source: RNAcentral